Long non-coding RNA from Parus major (Great Tit), 6997 nucleotides. RefSeq lists it as uncharacterized. Lineage: Eukaryota; Metazoa; Chordata; Aves; Passeriformes; Paridae. The record is from RefSeq and is a predicted model, not a curated record. The transcript is spliced from 3 exons.
CAUGAUUAAAGCUGAGACCAGCCUGGAAGAAAAAACAUGUUUUUCCAUGCAGUGGAACUAAAAAAGCCUGAUUUUCUAAGAAGUUAUUUCACCUUGCCACUCUAACACUAGCUUCCUUCUUCCUGACGUCCUUUAUUAACUUUUUUCUGGUAAGUCUGUAACAGUGUUUCUGUUCACUCUGACAAUGCAGUCCUUUUUUUAUGGGUUGCCACCUGAGCAAAGAGGGCAUAGGCUUUUUAAAGAACAUGUGGACUACCAAUUACUGUCUCACUUGGGUAAGAAUGGACUUGUUUGGUCAUUUGCCAACAAACCAGGAGGUGUAAGUUAAAUUAUUAUCUCAUUCUAGGAAAAUCAGUCCCAAAUAUCUUAUGGCGUGCAGUAAGCUGGGCUAGAAUUGUUUUCUAGUCCUCUUUUUUCCAUUCUGGCUGAGAAUGGAAGAGUUAAAGUGACAGCAAAAAAUAUAACCAGGACAGACUAACUAGAGGUUCAUCCUUAAGGUACUUGGAUGGGAAGGAAUGAGGGUUGCUUGAUCCUUGCUCAAAUUUUCUCUUUAUUUUAAUGGCAGCUUAAUGUAAAAUACAUGAAGAGAUCUGAAGGAAGGAAGGAAACACAAUACUUUAGAAUAGUAAUGCACAAGAAUCUGCAAGAUAGCCUGGAUCUGAAUGCAGAUGUGGAAAAUUACCUGCUGCUUAAUUGGCAGGAUGGUUGAGUCUGCUACAGAAGUUAAGGAAGAACAUGACAAACAAAGUGAUUUGCGUGACUGAUUAGGAAUUGUCUUUGAGCCUUGUCUAGCUUGCUCUGCUGGUGACAAAUUCACAAAGAAAUGUCAAAGGGACAGGCCAGUAGUUUUAUUUGGAUAAAAGUCAGAAGGAAAGGUCUGGAGUUGUAGAUUCUUUGGCAAUCACUACAGAGAUGACAGACGGAAUUGUCUAUUCAGAUAAAUGCAGAAUAAGAUGUGAAGGGAGAAUGAAGGAAGCUCAAGAAAAGACCCCUGCAGAGAAAGGAGAGGACAUGCUGUAGUAGAUUUGUGGAAGACAAAGGUAAAAGGAAAACUGUCCUUUGUUGUGUGUGUCUGUGCAUGUGAGCAUACGGAAGGGAGAGGAGGCUAAGAGAAGAAAGACUGUGGCAGGGGAAAAAGGACUAAAUUACUUACCACUGCAAUUUUUUUAGACCAAAAUCAAAUACUUGGCAAUUAACUGAUAUUUCACAAGUUGUAUAUUAAACACUGAAAGUUUGCAUAUAAGGACUUGAGAUGUUGCCAUCCUGAAAUUAGCCAGCUAUUUCUGUCAAAUUAGACUAGCAGAAGUCUAACUAAUUUGUUUAACUUUAUUUUCAAAAUAAAUGUCCUAAAAACAUGUUCUGAAAAUGUUCUUGAAGAGCAAUCAAUACUGUUUGUCUGAACACAGGUAAGAAAGCCAAAAAAGCUAGGUGACCUUAACUUUAGACUUACAACAGCUGUUUUGUGUGGAAUGUGGAAAACCAAGUGCAUGUUUGUUUAGAGCUCCAUAAAAUCCUGUGAACAUUUGCAGUUUAAAUGUUUGAGUAAACAAACCUGCAAGGUUAAGAAGGGUGACAUCCAUAUAUUCUCCUGCAUGUGUUGAAUUACACUAAGUUAGAUAUGACAGGUAAAUCUUAUUGCCAAGACUGAAAAGAUCAGCUAAACACGUGCUACUUCUUACUGAAAGCCCUGCUAAUGAAGGAUUAAAAAAGCAGAGGUAACUGUGUGGGACAUGCACAGAGGAAUAAUUUAAUUCAGGAAAUGCUGAAUGCAGAAAAAGACUGUGUCAAUAUGGAAGCGGAGUGUAAAAAAAUGCACUAAAAAUUGAAAACAAAAGCAGCAGAAAGACCCAGCAGUGUGACCCAAAUUUCAUGGGACCUAUUAAGAUUUAUCAGAACAACACAAACCCACAGAACUAAAGAAUAAUUCAUACUGGAGGAUCUCUAAUUCAUCCUCUGCUGAAAGCACGCACCCAUGAGACCAGAACCUAUUGCUCUGGGUUUAUCUACUCACAGCAUAAAAAUCUCAAAGGAUGGGUACAGCACAAGGACUCUGAGGUAGCAUGUUCCACUGCCUGACUGUCCUUAGGGUGAACAAGCAGUACCCGAUACAAGUGAGAACCUUUCUUGUUUCAGUAUCACCUGUUGUCUGUUGUCCUCCUACCAUGUGGAGCCUGCCCUCAUCCCCCCAGUGACUUUCCUGCAGGUACUGGACUAUUGCCAUCAAAAUGGAGGCCUGUAUUUUUCCUUUCUGUUUAUAGUUCUACCAUCCCAUUGUCACUGUCUGGCUGUAAUCCAAACUCUUUACUUUCUUGGAGCACUCUUCUGAAUUUUAGGCUGUCUUUCUGAUGCAGUAAUUGUGUAUUAAUUCUAUGAUGUUUGUUGCCCUUUUUCCAUUUUGGAAGUAAAUGAAAAGUGUGAAAUGAAAAGGACAGCUCCUUCAGUCACAUUUGGCUAAGUGUGAACAAUCUAGGAAAACAAGAAAAAAGCACUUGACCUACAUGAAAAAUGGUAUACCAGCACCAAUCUAAUAUGAAUAUUAUGAAUACAUGAAUAUUUCUAUAAAAGGAAACAAAAUUGAAGUAGAUCAUGAAAAUUAAUUCUAAUGAGCUACUGCUGUUUCUUCAAAACAGUCUUCACUUGAAGAGAUAAUUUUGUUUAAUUUUUCUAGAAUAAGUUUUAUUAAAUGAAAAAAAUUUCAUCAGCUUCUGUAGAAUUGUCAGCUAGGACAUCAAACAGAUCUAAAACCCCACCAAAAUACUAAAAACAAUUAUUUCUGUGUGAGACAAUUACCAAGUCAUAUAUUAACACUAAAUUAUUUGCCUUGUUAUACUGUGUAUUUCAACUUCCCUCUAUUCAUAUUGUCUGUGUACAGAUGCAGUUAGAAAUCCACUUUGUUGCAAAUAAACCAGCUGGUCUCAGUAGGGCAGAUAAAACAGAGGGGUUCAGCAAAGACUGCGAGCCAGCUUGUGGGCUUUCACACACUCAGGACAAAUGGCUGAUAAUGAAACAGCCUUUAAAUCAGGGAUUUUACUACAGGCUCAGGAAAGGAUUACAUGUUUUGACUGGUGUAAUAUCAGCCUUCCCCAGCCAGUUUGGGAUGAACGUUCCAAAAACUGUGCAAGUGCAAGCAGCUAAAAAAACCCCAAGAACCCACUGCUAAGAUAUUCAGUAAAACCUUUUCAUAUUCUGUGUGCAGAAGAAAUAGUUCAAGAAUAUUUUGCGCUUGGGGAAAGAGUAAUUCUGAAAUUGGCAUGCUAGAAAGAGCUUGGCCUAAUGCAGCUGCCUGUCAUUACAGAUAAAAAAGCCCCUAAGGCUGGAGAUGCCUCCCCAAGGCCCUGGGAGCACAUCCGUAAUUCUCUUCACUGUGGUGAGAGGCUGACGUUACUUCCUCAAGGACGGAUACAAUUAAGAUUGAUGUGUAGAGAAAAAAACAUCACCUUGCCCUUACUCAGAAACAGAAAAUAAGUUUAUUUUUCAGGUUGAGAUGCAUUCCUAUAGCUAACACCUUGCGAGCUGAGAAGGAUCAAGUAGAAAAUCGCAAACUAAGAAGGAGUUUGUAAGAACUUCUGGAAGAAAGAGGUAUUGAUGAAAGUAUUCUUGGAAGCCAGCAACGAUGACACUGAGUGUUUCACAAAAACCUCUACAAAAGAAAUAAACCUGAGUAUCACAAAAUUCAGAUUACAAGUGUAAGCCUUCACUGCCUUUCCCAGCAAGAUGAAGUAUUAACUUGUCCCUUAAAUGGUUUUUUUUUUGCUGUGGAAAGAAGUGAAAGACAAAGUUUAUGUUGACCUAAAUGUAUUAGAUGGAAAGAACAGUAACACCAGAUCUUGACACCGGAUAGCACAAGAGUGGAGCACAGGUUAGGGAUGGGGUUUGUCAGUAAAUGCAGAGGGCUGAAUAGAUCUCAAGGGUGAGGACAAGGUGCUUAAAUGCUCUUCAAAGAAAUAAAGGGCCUGAGUGCACUGGCUGCCAGAGAAAAGGGAGAAACAGGAAAAGAAGCUCAGUUUAAGCAGAUUCUAUGCAGGAGCUGUUUCCAUUAGCUGGAUUUUUCUGUAAUGAAAAGAAGUCUUUAUAUUUUGAACCAUUACUGUGUGCAUAAAGUACAAAAUUUCAGGUGUAAUUUUUGCAACUAGAGAGGAGUCAUUGCUGAAUUUGAACCUUCAACAGCUUUAUGAUUUACUGUAACCAUGUGCCCUAGAUAAAAGUAAGAACUAUUUGCUUAGACCAUAAGCUGACUACUGACCCCAUACAGAGUUCUGUUAAUGAUUUACACAUUCAAGAAAGGAAGCCUUCAGAUAUAGGUAUAUCAGCACAAUAAAGCAAAUUUGCAAUAAAUUCUGAGGCCAUGAGGUAAUGAAGUAUUUUCUUUCACUCUGUGACUGUACAGAAGCACCAAAACCCUGCUCAGUCACAAAAUAUUAGUAUUGAGACCAAAAUAUUGGUCUCACCAAUCUGAGCUGCUUUAUAGGAAAGUAAGCAGCCCUGCUCCAUCACAAGAUGAUAAUAAUAAUAACAAAGAGGUAAGAAUGAGAAGAAACAAACAGUCUUGGUUAUCCCAAUGCCCUUUUGGCUAAAACAGACCAUGUACACAAGCACAAUCCUGUAAGCAAAAGAGCAGAUCAAAUUAAGGAAGCUACAGGGGAAAACAGCAAGAAAAGACAUGUAGAAGGGAAAUGUAAAUAAAAGAGUAUACUUGAAACUAAGAACUAAGGUUGAUUGUGGCCUAAAAACAUGACAUGAAAAAGUAGAUCUCAGCAGCAGGGAAUUCUUGGUGUAGAUGCAAACUUCAGUCCUUCAUACAACAGAAAAGAUGACGGCUGCCUAAAGCACAGAGCUUUUAAAAUAUUCUGUCUAAAUAAAGACAAAUAUCUAAAUAUAAAGAAUAAGUAUCUAAAUAUAAAGAAAUACUCUGUCUAAAAAAUUACAUCUAGAGGUAAUAAUUGCUGUGGUUUUUAAAUUUUCAAAAGAUUUUCUUUAGAAUUUAUGCAACCAAUGUGAGAUUAGGUCACAAAUGCAUUGAUCCAUUCAGCUUAAUCUAUUUUUUCUCUAAAAAUCAUUAUUCUGAAUAUUAUGCAGAGGAAUACUGUCUCUGUGCAGGAGCUCCUUCAGCUCUACAUCUAGCUGUUUACCAAGCAGGUGACCAUGAAACUACAAAAAAUACCUGUGAACAAACAAACUUGGUAUUUCAUAACAUAUUUUGUUUUUAUUACCACAACGUGAAAUUUCAAGCAUUCUUUUUUCCUAUAGAGAGCCAGCAUACAGAAGAUAUGAACAAAAAACCUUCCUAAAAUCCUUGGAAAUACCAGGAUCCUGUUAACCAUGGUUUUAUUUAAACAGGACUAUAAAUAAGGGAUGAACAAGGACUCACCCAAUAUGUGUGUAUUGAUAGGUACACACAUGUGAUAUGUACGAUUCUAGACAUUCCAUGUCACGAUUUAAAAACUAUCCUCUUCUAUUCUGCUUGAAUAUGCUGAUACACUAAUUAUUGAGGCUACCAGGAAAAAUAUGGAUCUUAUAUAAAAUACUUAUUAUUAAGAUUGCUGUGAUGCAAGAUCAGGAUAUCUGAUCUUAGAUGAAGAUAUAUUUAUCUCUAUACAUACAAAGAGAGAUAGUUAACUGAGCUUCAAUUUAAGUAACAACUACUUCAUUGCAUAUAAUGAUGAAACAAAGAGCUUUUGCUGCCUUAUAAAGUGUAUCUUAAACUAUCUUGAAGAGGAAGAGAUAUUCAUUUGCUUUGUUUCCACUUGUCCAAAAAUUUUUUCGACUUUAGAUCCCAAAUAUUGAUUUUAUUCCACUGUGUUACCGGUUGUACAUGUGGGAGGAAAAGCUGCAGCAAAGGCAGGGAGCAGAGGCUCAGCAGGUGGGUACAGGAAAAGAUGAAGUCCCUGCUGCAGCUCCUGCUGUUAAUGCUGUUCAGAGAGAAGAGGCCUCCAGCUUGUGAGGCAGCUGGGGCUGCCAAAGAAAGCUCAAGGACACGGGUACAUGAUGAGGAGAUUUGUGCUCUACCAUUGUUACACUUUUACAUACAGUAGGAUUUGAUGAUGCUGGAGGUCUUUCUAGCUACAGGGAUUCUGUGAUACAGGUCCCAGUGCUUGAUAUGCAGAUCUCAAGGGCAUGAUAAGAAAUUGCUUUGGAUCAGGAGCACUCCUAAAUAAUGAACAUAUUUUGUAACUGGGAAAAGAGGAGCUAUAUUGUUGGUGUGAACUAGCCUUGUUCUCAGCAUGCUAAAUAGAGCCAGUCUUUCCAGACAUUCCAGGUCAUUAUUUAAAAAGUCAUUCUCUUCUAUUCUGCUUGAUUAUACUGAUACCUGAUAAUGAGACUACCAGGAAAAAUAUGGAUCUACACUACUUAUAAUUAAUAAUAGUGUAAUGCAAGAUCAGUAUAUCUGAUCUUAGAUGAAGGGAAAAAAUUUUUACUUUGAUAAGGCUUUGCUUAAGUACGCACCUUUAAAGUGUCUUAAAGUUUGUAUAAAUAUCUUUUUUUUUUCUUUUUUUUUAGAGAGAGAGAAAUGGGAAUUUAUUAAUAGUACAUUUAAACAGUGAAUAGCAUUUAUUUCCUGGUUCUGUAUUAAAACCAGAAAUUCUCCUUCUUAUCCACUAUCUUUACAAUUAAGCUUGAUAUGAUAACCCCCUGUGACAAAAGAAGCACUGGAUUUGAGAUACUCUUACACAAGAAGACUGGAGCUCAGACACACUCUUCAAUGGCACUGCAAGAAGCCCGAGUAGCUUGUAAGGCUGGGUAUACAACCUGCAGAAGUGUUUGCAGCAGCUAUUGCUGCCAAAAUCAGAGUUACUUACAAUUAAAAAAUGGCAGCCCUAAAAAGAAUAGGAAAUAAAUUACCAGGAAUAUAUACAGUGAACGCAUAUUCAGUUUCUUCAGAAACUCUAUUAAUUACAGAUUUACUUCUUCCAUUACAUUGCCAGAAUCCACUCUUAAUGCUGAACACCAAUUCAAUGCUAAAAUUUUCCAUGAAUCCUGUAAAAGAUCUCCAGCUUUG